ACAAAUGUGAAGAGGAACUGGGGGUUGCAAGGUUCUGUAGGAAGAGCAAUGUAGCCGUGGCCACACAGAGAUGAAAGAGCCACAUUUUCCUAAAGUGGAAAAAGAUUGGUAAACUACAUGCAGACAGGAAGAACACAGGAGUUAUCUCCGAACCAAUGCCCUCCAAAUGAAGGAAGUAUUGCGACUGUAUUUUGGAGGAAUCUAUAUUAAUAUAAGAAUGCAUUUUAUGGGGUGUAAAUACUCUUUCUGGCUUUGAAGUUUUAUGACAAAAGGUGAAAAGUGUGGUGCAGAGGUCAGGGCAGUUGCUGCCUGAAAUGAAGACCUGAGUUCCAUUGCCUGAAUCCACAGGGUGGAAAGGACUUGUCCCUCCACGUCCUCAGGGGUGCUAUGGCAUGCAUCUCCCUACAGCCCUGAAAAAUAAUACAUGUAAAUUUUUUUUUUU
This is a non-coding RNA of Mus caroli (Ryukyu mouse), 442 nucleotides long. NCBI's taxonomy places the organism in Eukaryota, Metazoa, Chordata, Mammalia, Rodentia, Muridae. The record is from RefSeq and is a predicted model, not a curated record.